Long non-coding RNA from Dermacentor silvarum, 389 nucleotides. RefSeq lists it as uncharacterized. The transcript has 3 exons. Lineage: Eukaryota; Metazoa; Arthropoda; Arachnida; Ixodida; Ixodidae. The record is from RefSeq and is a predicted model, not a curated record.
UUUUUUCAUUUAUAUUGUUUUCUUACUGUGACAUGCAGGCAGGACUUGCUGAAAUGGAAUGGCUGGGGAUACAAGGACUCCAAGUUUGUGGUCGAUGGCACCACUCAUCAUAUUUCGUUUACAGGCGACAGAUACAAGAUUGGAAACAAGGUGCUGCCUCACUUCAAGGCCUGGGUCGAGUCAGCGCUGGGUGUCGACCUCAAUGUCCUCAUUCCAUCGCAGGAGCCCAUAAAAAGCACCAAGUCCUCUCUGCAAGGCUCCUCCACCGUGGCCAUUAACCCUGUCCACAAGUGUGUCAGGGUAAGCGUGUCGAAUGUCCCUCUUUCAGCCACAGUUUUCCCACAAAAGUUUGCUUGCAGAGAACGCUGGCGCUGCGAUCGUUCACAGGG